GACGCAUUUGGGAACUAGUUCGCGUAGUUCGUAUUUAGGAGCGCUCUUAAGAACUAGUUCGUUCGCGAACUACACAAGACUAGUUUAUUGUGUUAAAUUAUUC
Long non-coding RNA from Melitaea cinxia (Glanville fritillary), 103 nucleotides. RefSeq lists it as uncharacterized. The record is from RefSeq and is a predicted model, not a curated record. Lineage: Eukaryota; Metazoa; Arthropoda; Insecta; Lepidoptera; Nymphalidae. The transcript is spliced from 3 exons.